AUUAAGUUUAUUUUUUAGUUUUUAAAUAUAAUGUUUUGACUAUUUGUCUUAUUUAAAAUUUUUUUGCGAUUAAUAUUUUUAUUGUUACUAGAUGGUAAACAUAAAUAAUACUUUAUACGUGACUAAUUUUUCUAAGUAUUUAAUAAAUUUUUAAAAUAAGACGAGUAGUUAGACGGUUGGACAUAGUCACAUACA
This 195-nucleotide microRNA precursor is filed under the name Oryza brachyantha (malo sina). Its description in RNAcentral is "MIR812 microRNA precursor family". It matches the Rfam family "MIR812 microRNA precursor family". The record is from Rfam by way of RNAcentral. Lineage: Eukaryota; Viridiplantae; Streptophyta; Magnoliopsida; Poales; Poaceae.